This 274-nucleotide ribosomal RNA is filed under the name uncultured bacterium. RNAcentral's name for it is "partial 16S ribosomal RNA". It matches the Rfam family "Bacterial small subunit ribosomal RNA", at positions 523 to 796 of the family's 1533-position model. The record is from RNAcentral.
AGACGUAGGGGGCUAGCGUUGCCCGGAUUCACUGGGCGUAAAGCGCGCGUAGGCGGUUCGGCAAGUCGCCCGUGAAAGCCCCUGGCUCAACUGGGGGAGGUCGGGCGAUACUGCCGGGCUAGAGGGCGGCAGAGGGAGGUGGAACGGCCGGAGUAGCGGUGAAAUGCGUAGAUACCGGCCGGAAUCCCGAUGGCGAAGGCAACCUCCUGGGCCGUUCCUGACGCUGAGGCGCGAAAGCUGGGGGAGCGAACCGGAUUAGAUACCCCAGUAGUCC